CUUGAACCAAAGCAGCUUCUUCUGUAAUGUUUUCCUUACUGGGAGGACACGUAAGACACUGUGUGAUCAUGGGGCUCCAUGACUUCAAAAAGUUCAAAACCCUUGACUACAUGAAGCCUCGAAGGACACCUCCCAGUCUAUUUUCACUCAUUUCUCCCACAUAUACCUAUGGAGUGUUUACCAGGCUGUUCCAGGCACAUCAGUAAACAAAACUGACAGAUAUCCAAGACAGAGAACAUCCCACAUUCUCGGGGAGCCCCCGGGCUUUGAAACAAAGUCAUAGAAGUCUCCCCUGUUAAAAUUCAAAGCUUAUCACAUGAUGUUUUCCCAAUUGUCAUCAUAUUUCCGUACAGCAAGAAGUCAAGAAAGACUCCGAAUGAACGUGUGAGAGAAGCAGACACAGAGUGAUGGGCACUUUUCCUUGCAAUCCCGCGGUGAAUUUGUAGGGAAAGCAGAACUUGAACUCAUAAACUGUCUCUUCGUGUGAGUCAUAAUGUCCCACAGGGACGACCCCAGUUUCCUCCCUGCCCUCUUCUCUGUCAGUGGUUUCACUCAGGACACUCAACCAGCCCUACACCCCCUGCCCCCAACUCUUGACUCUGAGCUGUCUCCUUUUCUUUUCUUGCUUGCUCUCUUUCUUUUUUUAAUUGAGAUUCAUAAUAGUUUACAUCACUGUGAAAUUUCUGAGCGGUCUCCUUUUCACUUCAUGGUACGAAAAACCACAACACCUACUGGAAGCAACCAGUAUACAGAGGGGUUAAUUCAAGGUCACACCCAACUCUCGGACAUCUCCACCUUCCUUCCUGAGAGUGUGAGUUUCACAUGACAAGCCAUCCAGAAGAGGAAACUUCCAUCCCACCUUCUUCUUGGUGGUAAUAUGGUGAAAUGAUGCCAAAUCCAGGAAGGGGUAGUGUUGAGGAGAUAGAGAAAAGGAGGGGCCGAUCUCAUGUGUUAGUAUAAAAGUUCAUUUCUAGGAGCGCCAAAGACCCCAGAGCACCCUCCUUCCGUUCACUGGUUCCUGUUCUGAAAUUGCGCCUGUCUCAUUCCCAUAGCUCAAGGCUCUGGUCCUUGUUAAAAUGAAGAUGCUCCUAAUAAAGGUGAUAGUUUAAACUGUUAGCAGCUAUUUAUACCUCAGUGUGAAUGAUGGAUCCAGAGUAAGUUUUGUUUCAUGAGGCGUAGAACACUGGGGGCUGAGAUGUGGAGGAAAAGGUGAUAUAGAAACAGACAGAAUGUAGACCAAAGGUGAACUUAACAGUAUUUCUAGGUUGUGAGUCCACAAAGAGGUACCUGCUAUGGCUUCGUUAAAGUGAGAAGCCCGCAUCGGAUCUGACUGAUAUUCCAGGACCUGUGGGCUGCACUCAAAAAAGACGUAAGUGUGGCAUCUCUGUCUCCCCAGAGGCAGUGGGCUUCCUCCUCAGCGGCUGAGACUUCCCUUCCCCUCUGGGUCUGGCAUAGAGAUAAGCAUACCAUUAUCACAGACUGUUGGGGACCCAAGGAGCAGCCUUAUUUACGACCAGAAAAGCACCAACGUCCCCUGAAAUGCAGGGCUUCCGGUGCCGCGGGCUGGAGAGCUCUGCUUGGGCGAGGCCUUACCUAGCAGCCUGGCUGCACACACGGCUGGAGGAAAGAGAGAGAGAUGCGGAGAUUUCCACAUGGAGAUGGAAAGUGAGGCGUUCACUGUGCCCAGGCGCAGGGGUCAAGGAAAGAGGGGUUGAAGCUCUGUCACACCCAACCCUCCCUGCUCCUGGGAGGGGCGGACAAACCCUCUCCUAAGGAAACGUUCCCUGCACCCCCCCCCCACACACUCUGCCUCCGCUGAGUUAGGGUGGGCUUCCUUCCCGGAAGGGGGCUCCACAGGGCACACAAAGGAGAGGAAAGCAAUAGGACUGACCCACGAAGACCCUGCUCGCUUUCUGGCGUCGGUCUCUCUAGGAUCCAUCAGAAAUGACGAGCUGGAAGAUGCUCCGAUUAAUUGCUUUCCGGCUCUGAGAUGGCACCUCCAUCGCCAGUCAAAGUUUUAAUUAAUCAUGCCAGCAGAUGGGCUGUCACGGCCGGAGCGGCCAGGGGACUUACAGGAUUCCUCUGACAGGACUGGGGCAGACAGAAUGCAGAAGCAUGGCGACUCAAGUAGAGAGGCCAAGGAAUGGUCACAGGGUGUCACAGUCAGAAGGGACGUUCGUGUGGGGAGAAGACCUUUGAUCAGCAGCCCCUUCCUUCUCCUGCGGUGGCCUGAACUCGGAGGGUAUAACUGGGAUGGAGCCAGGCCACCGCCUUACGUGUGUGCACACAUGGGAGCAGCCUGGGCCUCCUCGCUGUGGAAUGGCCGGGGUGUCUGCUGUGAUGGGGCACACAUCUCCUUCUUGGUUGAGCAGUAAACAAGGACUGUUCGGUUGGGCCUGUUUCCUUGGAGCAUAUCUUCAUGAAUAUUUGCUGGUGCAGGGAAGUGAUGAAGUACCCAUAGUCCGCACUAUGAAAUCAGAAAGUCUCUGAAGGAAGAAAUUGGCACUCUGCGGCCAUAGUCCUAAGAGAGAAGACAGGAACCAUUUUCCUAUGCCUCCUGUGUGCUGGUCAGAUUAAACGGCACAGAGGGGUGAGCUGCUGAACGCUUGGUUGUAAUUUUGCAAGACUGAUGGCAAUCACUUAUCCUACACCAGCCGUGCCAGGUACUGUUAUAAGCACCUUACGUACUUUAGAUUUCCCAUUUAGGAAAAUGAGGCACAGGGAGACCAAAUCACUUUUCCAUGUUCACACAAGUCGUGAGCGGUGAGAGCCAGAUUUAGAUUUCAGUGGUCUGGCUUCUAAAUCUGUGCUCCUAGCCACUGUGCACGGUCUCCUUGGGAAGACAGCGCAGGGAGGCCCGGGGGACAUCUCCCCAAGUUCUGGCAAAGGAGAAAUGGACCGCCGGAGUUUUAUGGUCAGCCUCCUCAGAAGCACGUCCACAUACUCAAACCGUGUUAUUGGAGAACAGAAUGAAUGCUCAGCAUUUCGAAGGCUCUCAGAACUGAACAGAAGCUCAGGCUGCAGGGCCUGCAGGGGUGGGUGCCUGCAUCUGCCCUGGCCCAGGGCCUUGAGAGAGGAGAACGCCUAUGUGUGUGGCUGGACUGGAGCUGAGAGCUGGGCAAGUGUUGCAAGGCUCCAGGUGAGGAAAGUGGCUUUAGGAAACGUUUACACAGCCUGUCUGUGUGUGCUUUGUCUCAUAGAGACACGAACACAGAGAGAUGUCUCCACAAUUAAAAGCAAUGGCAAACAUGUGAUGAUAAAAGAAAACGCUAGUCUUCUUUAUUGCCAGGGGUCAGUAGGGAGUGGUGAGGAC
RNAcentral lists this long non-coding RNA (3313 nucleotides) under Equus caballus (horse). Its description in RNAcentral is "lncRNA (ENSECAG00000053316.1)". The record is from RNAcentral. Lineage: Eukaryota; Metazoa; Chordata; Mammalia; Perissodactyla; Equidae.